Molecule: long non-coding RNA, 2483 nt
Filed under: Nicotiana benthamiana
Lineage: Eukaryota; Viridiplantae; Streptophyta; Magnoliopsida; Solanales; Solanaceae
Description: long non-coding RNA (NBEN_LNC017243)
Source: RNAcentral
AACACCUUACCUUCUUCUUCGUGAAGUCAUCUUCUCCAACAAAAAAACCCUAGCCUUUCACCUUCUCCUUCAAUCUCCAUAGCUGCCCCCCAUCGCCGCUGCACCUUCCCCACGCCGGACAUACCACUGCCACGCCCCACGACCACACCUUCAUCCCCUCUUUGUCAACCCUAACCAAAACAAUCCCCCACGCCGUACCCCAGCGACGAUGACCAGUUCACAGACACGUCUCCAACCACCCUCACGUUGUCGACGAGCAGCCCUACUCUCUUCACCUCGUCGUCAACAGCCUAUUUUGUUCCAGCGUCAACCUCCAUCGCUGGCUACUCCAGCGAUCAGUCUUUCCAGCUAGCCCCGUCACGACCAUGUCCGUCGACCACCACGAACUCCAGCCCCAAACGUCAUUGCCAUAUCAACCAAACGACUAGUCCUUCAGCUUGAACGACGACCGAUUUCAUUUCGAGCUCCGGUGAUGGCUACUGUUCUUCUUUCUCCCUCGCCAAUCUAUUUUCUCUAUUACUGUUGCGACGAGGGUGAAUGAUCUGACCAAAUAUAUAAGUUUUUUGUCAACCCAUCUCCAAUACAUUCAACGGUAGGCACGAGCAGGUUAAUUUUCAUCACUGCCCUAGUUCUUCCUGUUCUCAUGAGGAUAUAUGUGUGUGAUGUUGAAUCACUUACUCAUGUGUUUUAAAUAAAUAAAUUAACUGAUGUUAUUGAGAUGGAAAAAUAGAUAGUUUGGUUUUUUGUAGAUCGAUUUCGUCACUCUUUUUUUAACAGAGGGAGUAGUAUUCAAAUUCUCAUUGUAAGUUUGAAUUGAUAUUGGUGAUAGGUAUGAUGUUCAUCAUGUUUUGUAUCUAUUUGAUGAUUAGAACACUAGAUAAUUAAAAUUGCUAGAUUUCAUGAGUUGGUACUAAUUUAUGCUUGUGUUUUGGGAUGUAUAAAUUCAUGUAUUCCUGUAAUUGAUAGGUUUUAUUUUGUUCAAAUAGUUUCAUUUUCUAUAUAUGUUUGAUUCCCUACCCUUUGUUUGAUUGAUCAUCAUAUUGAAUUCUUGCUAAUUCAUUUGUAUCUAAGUCAACCAUGAUUGGUUCCCAAUAUGGUUAGCUUAUUCCAUUUAAUCUAAUGCUUUAUGAUUCAAUUUGAGUUCAUGGGAUUUAUUGGUUGAAUAUGAUUUAGAUGAAUUGGUGAUAGUUGAUAGGGGUAGAAUAGUAAUUUUUCAGUAAUUUUGGGGUAUUUUUGGAAUUUAAAAUUUGGACAAUUAUUUAAUUUAAGUUCUUUGUCCACUAGACUAAUGCUCUUUUGUUUUUAUUUUUAUUUUUCCUUUCCUUCACUGAGCUGAGGGUCGAUUGGAAACAACCUCUCUGCCCUUUCGGGUAGCGGUAAUGCUCGUCUACAUAUUACCCUCCGCAGACCCCACUUUGUGGGACUAUAGUGGGUAGUUGUUGUUGUUGUACUUUGUCCACUAGAUUAAAGUAUUAUUAAAAUAAUAUAGUGGGAGGCAAGACAUAAUUAUGUCCAGAUGGGGUAAUAACGUGGUCUUCUUUAACCAUUAAAAAAGGGGGGAUUGUUGGACCCGUGUUGAUUACUUUUUGCUGAAUUAAAAUCAGAAAUAGUAUAAGUAAUGAUAAAGGUUAAAAUAUAGACAUAGAAGGGAAUAUAGGGGGGCUGAAAAUUAAAGUAAAUGGAAGGGUGAUAAUUAAAAGAGGGCAGUAAUAAUAAUUAAAGGGGAGGGGAAGAGAGUCUGGUUUUAGAGAAAAAUAAGAGUCAUUUGGCACACAAGAAAAAGAGAAGAUUUUUUCAGUCUAAUAGAGAUUCAAAAAGAAAUAGAACAAAAACCCCAUUAUUUUGAUAACUUCUUUCGAUAUUUUUUGAAAUAAAAAAAAAACUUAGAGAGAAAAAAAGUGUUCCAUUGUUUCCUCUUGAGUUCAUUUUUAAUCUAAAACUUAAUUUCAGUUUCUAUAAGCUCUUGAAAACCAGAAUAGUGCUUUGAACUAGAGGUUUUACUCAGGGAUACUGUUACGUCAGUUUUGAGAGCAGAAACAGUCAAAAUUCUUGUUUUCUGUUCUAUAUUUGUGUAUUUAAAACAUUUGAGUUGCUUGUUGAUCUGUGUGGAGUACAGUUUGUUUGGCCGUGUGGAUUUUUUACAUUGGUUUUGACUUUUUGCUGGAUUCUAAGUUGGUGUUCCUUCAGCUGCUGUUGGUUCUACCGUGUUGCUGAAAUUGUUGUUAUUUGUUGUUGGUUUCCUACUGAUCUUCACCUUCUUCUUUGCUUUUCCAAAUACCAGGUACACACAUCUGACACACUGGUUCAAUGUAGCUGAAACUUGAAGCAUGAAUAAAAAUGAAGUCUUAAAGCUUUGACUUCAUUUAGUCAUUUUGUAUUUUAAGUUGUGCAUAGUUAUUAGUCUUCACUAGAACAUGUAAAAUGAUUGUUAUGUAUGACUGAGUAUAAAUCUGUGAUAAUUUAGAUGAUAAACUCUUUCUUUC